This 478-nucleotide ribosomal RNA is filed under the name uncultured bacterium. RNAcentral's name for it is "partial 16S ribosomal RNA". It matches the Rfam family "Bacterial small subunit ribosomal RNA", at positions 28 to 523 of the family's 1533-position model. The record is from RNAcentral.
GACGAACGCUGGCGGCGUGCUUAACACAUGCAAGUCGAACGGUAAGGCCCUUCGGGGUACACGAGUGGCGAACGGGUGAGUAACACGUGGGUGAUCUGCCCUGCACUUCGGGAUAAGCCUGGGAAACUGGGUCUAAUACCGGAUAGGACUCCGGACUGCAUGGUCUGGGGUGGAAAGCUUUUGCGGUGUGGGAUGGGCCCGCGGCCUAUCAGCUUGUUGGUGGGGUGAUGGCCUAACAAGGCGACGACGGGUAGCCAGCCUGAGAGGGUGACCGGCCACACGGGGACUGAGAUACGGCCCAGACUCCUACGGGAGGCAGCAGUGGGGAAUAUUGCACAAUGGGCGCAAGGCUGAUGCAGCGACGCCGCGUGAGGGAUGACGGCCUUCGGGUUGUAAACCUCUUUCAGCAUCGACGAAGCGAAAGUGACGGUAGGUGCAGAAGAAGGACCGGCCAACUACGUGCCAGCAGCCGCAGUAA